This 391-nucleotide ribosomal RNA is filed under the name uncultured bacterium. RNAcentral's name for it is "bacterial SSU rRNA". It matches the Rfam family "Bacterial small subunit ribosomal RNA", at positions 28 to 417 of the family's 1533-position model. The record is from RNAcentral.
GACGAACGCUGGCGGCGUGCUUAACACAUGCAAGUCGAGCGGUAAGGCCCUUUCGGGGGUACACGAGCGGCGAACGGGUGAGUAACACGUGGGUGACCUGCCCUCAGCUCUGGGAUAAGCCUGGGAAACCGGGUCUAAUACUGGAUAUGACUCCAUGGCGCAUGUUGUGGGGUGGAAAGCCUUGUGCGGCUGAGGAUGGGCCCGCGGCCUAUCAGCUUGUUGGUGGGGUGAUGGGCCUACCAAGGCGACGACGGGUAGCCGGCCUGAGAGGGCGACCGGCCACACUGGGACUGAGACACGGGCCCAGACUCCUACGGGGAGGCAGCAGUGGGGAAUCUUGCGCAAUGGGCGAAAGCCUGACGCAGCGACGCCGCGUGAGGGAUGACGGCCU